AUUGAACGCUGGCGGCAGGCCUAACACAUGCAAGUCGAGCGGUAGCACAGAGAGCUUGCUCUCGGGUGACGAGCGGCGGACGGGUGAGUAAUGUCUGGGAAACUGCCUGAUGGAGGGGGAUAACUACUGGAAACGGUAGCUAAUACCGCAUAACGUCGCAAGACCAAAGUGGGGGACCUUCGGGCCUCAUGCCAUCAGAUGUGCCCAGAUGGGAUUAGCUAGUAGGUGGGGUAACGGCUCACCUAGGCGACGAUCCCUAGCUGGUCUGAGAGGAUGACCAGCCACACUGGAACUGAGACACGGUCCAGACUCCUACGGGAGGCAGCAGUGGGGAAUAUUGCACAAUGGGCGCAAGCCUGAUGCAGCCAUGCCGCGUGUGUGAAGAAGGCCUCCGGGUUGUAAAGCACUUUCAGCGGGGAGGAAGGCGAUAAGGUUAAUAACCUCAUCGAUUGACGUUACCCGCAGAAGAAGCACCGGCUAACUCCGUGCCAGCAGCCGCGGUAAUACGGAGGGUGCAAGCGUUAAUCGGAAUUACUGGGCGUAAAGCGCACGCAGGCGGUCUGUCAAGUCGGAUGUGAAAUCCCCGGGCUCAACCUGGGAACUGCAUUCGAAACUGGCAGGCUAGAGUCUUGUAGAGGGGGGUAGAAUUCCAGGUGUAGCGGUGAAAUGCGUAGAGAUCUGGAGGAAUACCGGUGGCGAAGGCGGCCCCCUGGACAAAGACUGACGCUCAGGUGCGAAAGCGUGGGGAGCAAACAGGAUUAGAUACCCUGGUAGUCCACGCCGUAAACGAUGUCGAUUUGGAGGUUGUGCCCUUGAGGCGUGGCUUCCGGAGCUAACGCGUUAAAUCGACCGCCUGGGGAGUACGGCCGCAAGGUUAAAACUCAAAUGAAUUGACGGGGGCCCGCACAAGCGGUGGAGCAUGUGGUUUAAUUCGAUGCAACGCGAAGAACCUUACCUGGUCUUGACAUCCACAGAACUUAGCAGAGAUGCUUUGGUGCCUUCGGGAACUGUGAGACAGGUGCUGCAUGGCUGUCGUCAGCUCGUGUUGUGAAAUGUUGGGUUAAGUCCCGCAACGAGCGCAACCCUUAUCCUUUGUUGCCAGCGGUUAGGCCGGGAACUCAAAGGAGACUGCCAGUGAUAAACUGGAGGAAGGUGGGGAUGACGUCAAGUCAUCAUGGCCCUUACGACCAGGGCUACACACGUGCUACAAUGGCAUAUACAAAGAGAAGCGACCUCGCGAGAGCAAGCGGACCUCAUAAAGUAUGUCGUAGUCCGGAUUGGAGUCUGCAACUCGACUCCAUGAAGUCGGAAUCGCUAGUAAUCGUAGAUCAGAAUGCUACGGUGAAUACGUUCCCGGGCCUUGUACACACCGCCCGUCACACCAUGGGAGUGGGUUGCAAAAGAAGUAGGUAGCUUAACCUUCGGGAGGGCGCUUACCACUUUGUGAUUCAUGACUGGGGUGA
Molecule: ribosomal RNA, 1463 nt
Filed under: uncultured Klebsiella sp.
Lineage: Bacteria; Pseudomonadati; Pseudomonadota; Gammaproteobacteria; Enterobacterales; Enterobacteriaceae
Description: bacterial SSU rRNA
Rfam family: Bacterial small subunit ribosomal RNA
Source: RNAcentral